AGGAUGAACGCUGGCGGCGUGCUUAACACAUGCAAGUCGAACGGUGAAGUGAGGAGCUUGCUCCUUGCGGAUCAGUGGCGAACGGGUGAGUAACACGUGAGUAACCUGCCCUUGACUCUGGGAUAAGCGUUGGAAACGACGUCUAAUACCGGAUACGACCUCCGAAGGCAUCUUGUGGAGGUGGAAAGAAUUUCGGUCAAGGAUGGACUCGCGGCCUAUCAGCUAGUUGGUGAGGUAAUGGCCCCACCAAGGCGACGACGGGUAGCCGGCCUGAGAGGGUGACCGGCCACACUGGGACUGAGACACGGCCCAGACUCCUACGGGAGGCAGCAAUGGGGAAUAUUGCACAAUGGGCGCAAGCCUGAUGCAGCAACGCCGCGUGAGGGACGACGGCCUUCGGGUUGUAACCUCUUUUAGUAGGGAAGAAGCGAAAGUGGACGUACCUGCAAGAAAAGCACCGGCUAACUACGUGCCAGCAGCCGCGGU
Molecule: ribosomal RNA, 486 nt
Filed under: uncultured bacterium
Lineage: Bacteria
Description: SSU rRNA
Rfam family: Bacterial small subunit ribosomal RNA
Source: RNAcentral